Molecule: ribosomal RNA, 462 nt
Filed under: uncultured bacterium
Lineage: Bacteria
Description: partial 16S ribosomal RNA
Rfam family: Bacterial small subunit ribosomal RNA
Source: RNAcentral
GAUGAACGCUGACAGAAUGCUUAACACAUGCAAGUCAUUGGCGAAGCUGCGCUUGCGCAGUCUAGCCAAGGCGGACGGGUGAGUAACGCGUAAGGAACUUGCCCUGCAGACAGGGAUAACAGACGGAAACGACUGAUAACACCUGGUAUUGUCAGGCUGGCGCAUGCCGGCCUGAUGAAAGGAGACGCUGCAGGAGAGCCUUGAGUCCUAUUAGCUAGUUGGUGGGGUAACGGCCCACCAAGGCGAUGAUAGGUAGCCGGCCUGAGAGGGUGAACGGCCACAAGGGGACUGAGAUACGGCCCUUACUCCUACGGGAGGCAGCAGUGGGGAAUAUUGGACAAUGGGGGCAACCCUGAUCCAGCAAUUCUGUGUGCACGAAGAAGGUUUUCGGAUUGUAAAGUGCUUUCAGCAGGGAAGAAGAAAGUGACGGUACCUGCAGAAGAAGCGACGGCUAAAUACGUG